GACGAACGCUGGCGGCGUGCCUAAUACAUGCAAGUAGUACGCCGAAGAGAGGAGCUUGCUCUUCUUGGAUGAGUUGCGAACGGGUGAGUAACGCGUAGGUAACCUGCCUGGUAGCGGGGGAUAACUAUUGGAAACGAUAGCUAAUACCGCAUAAUAGCAGUUAUUGCAUGAUAACUGUUUGAAAGGUGCAAUUGCACCACUACCAGAUGGACCUGCGUUGUAUUAGCUAGUUGGUGGGGUAACGGCUCACCAAGGCGACGAUACAUAGCCGACCUGAGAGGGUGAUCGGCCACACUGGGACUGAGACACGGCCCAGACUCCUCGGGAGGCAGCAGUAGGGAAUCUUCGGCAAUGGACGGAAGUCUGACCGAGCAACGCCGCGUGAGUGAAGAAGGUUUUCGGAUCGUAAAGCUCUGUUGUAAGAGAAGAACGAGUGUGAGAGUGGAAAGUUCACACUGUGACGGUAUCUUACCAGAAAGGGACGGCU
RNAcentral lists this ribosomal RNA (487 nucleotides) under Streptococcus mitis. RNAcentral describes it as "bacterial SSU rRNA". It matches the Rfam family "Bacterial small subunit ribosomal RNA", at positions 28 to 498 of the family's 1533-position model. Lineage: Bacteria; Bacillati; Bacillota; Bacilli; Lactobacillales; Streptococcaceae. The record is from RNAcentral.